UACGUAGGGGGCGAGCGUUGUCCGGAUUUAUUGGGCGUAAAGAGCGUGUAGGCGGCCAGGUAGGUCUGCUGUGAAAACUCGAGGCUCAACCUCGAGACGCCGAUGGAAACCAUCUAACUAGAGUCCGGAAGAGGAGAGUGGAAUUCCUGGUGUAGCGGUGAAAUGCGCAGAUAUCAGGAAGAACACCCGUGGCUAAGGCGGCUCUCUAGUACGGUACUGACGCUGAGACGCGAAAGCGUGGGGAGCGAACAGG
RNAcentral lists this ribosomal RNA (253 nucleotides) under uncultured bacterium. Its description in RNAcentral is "partial 16S ribosomal RNA". It matches the Rfam family "Bacterial small subunit ribosomal RNA", at positions 524 to 776 of the family's 1533-position model. The record is from RNAcentral.